RNAcentral lists this ribosomal RNA (737 nucleotides) under Phaeoisaria sp. Its description in RNAcentral is "partial large subunit ribosomal RNA". It matches the Rfam family "Eukaryotic large subunit ribosomal RNA", at positions 118 to 883 of the family's 3401-position model. Lineage: Eukaryota; Fungi; Ascomycota; Sordariomycetes; Pleurotheciales; Pleurotheciaceae. The record is from RNAcentral.
AAAUCUGGCCCUCGGGCCCGAAUUGUAAUCUGCAGAUGAGUCUUCCGGCAGAGCGCCGUCCAAGUGCCCUGGAACGGGCCGCCGGAGAGGGUGAGAGCCCCGUACCGACGUGCGCCGCGCCUCUGUGAAGCUCAUUCGAAGAGUCGAGUAGUUUGGAAAUGCUGCUCUAAUUGUGGGGUAAAUCUCCCAUAAGGCUAAAUACCGGCCAGAGACCGAUAGCGCACAAGUAGCGUGAGCGAAAGAUGAAAAGAGCCUUGAACAAGGGCGUCAAAAAGCAUGUGAAAUUGUUGUGGGGGAAGCGUUCGAUGCCAGACGUGGCGGCGGUUGGUUACCCGGCGUUCUUCGCCGGCGCACUCUGCCGUCGCCAGGCCAGCAUCAGUUCGGCUCGAGGCCCACCGCCGGCGGGAAUGUGGCUCCCCUCGGGGAGUGUUAUAGCCCGUCGGUACCGUCUCGGACCGGACUGAGGACCGCGCUUCGGCUCGGAUGCUGGCGUAAUGGCUUCUAGCGACCCGUCUUGAAACACGGACCAAGGAGUUGACCUAGCCUGCGAGUGUUUGGGUGUCAAGCCCUUACGCGCAGUGAAAGCGAAUGCAGGUGGGAGCCUCGGCGCACCAUCGACCGAUCCUGAAGUUUACGGAUGGAUUUGAGUAAGAGCAUGCUGGGUCUGACCCGAAAGAAGGUGAACUAUGCAUGAAUAGGGUGAAGCCAGAGGAAACUCUGGUGGAGGCUCGCAGCGG